This 464-nucleotide ribosomal RNA is filed under the name uncultured bacterium. RNAcentral's name for it is "partial 16S ribosomal RNA". It matches the Rfam family "Bacterial small subunit ribosomal RNA", at positions 29 to 507 of the family's 1533-position model. The record is from RNAcentral.
ACGAACGCUGGCGGCGUGCUUAACCCAUGCAAGUCGCACGGAAAGGCCCUGCUUGCAGGGUACUCGAGUGGCGAACGGGUGAGUAACACGUGGGUGAUCUGCCCUGCACUUCGGGAUAAGCCUGGGAAACUGGGUCUAAUACCGGAUAUGACCUUCCAUGUAGUGUGGGGGGUGGAAAGAUUUAUCGGUGUGGGAUGAGCCCGCGGCCUAUCAGCUUGUUGGUGGGGUAAUGGCCUACCAAGGCGUCGACGGGUAGCCGGCCUGAGAGGGUGGACGGCCACAUUGGGACUGAGAUACGGCCCAGACUCCUACGGGAGGCAGCAGUGGGGAAUAUUGCACAAUGGGCGGAAGCCUGAUGCAGCGACGCCGCGUGGGGGAUGACGGCCUUCGGGUUGUAAACCUCUUUCGACAGGGACGAAGCUUCGGUGACGGUACCUGUAUAAGAAGCACCGGCUAACUACGUG